UCGGCCGUGCAACAAUCGUCUUUCUUCCCGAAUUGCUCGUUGAUCAAACAUACUUUGAGUCGUUAUUGCCAAUCAAGUGUUUCAAAAUGUCGCAGUUUUAGUUGUACGCAUCCUGUUGUGUUCCACAGUUCUUUGUCAAAGGUGGAAAUAAGGAGGAGACUUUCAUUGUCGAAAUGGACGGACGUGUGUUUCUCCCACUGCGAGUGUCUACGAUAUGGCCCAAAGGCUUGACACAGUUCCUCACCUGCCCGUCAGAUAGCGUUGCAGCACAGUGCAGCUUUUUCUGUGCGAAAUGGAUGAUGCCAUUUUGAACAAGAAAAACAAUCAAACCUUGGGCGAGGAAACUAAAAUGAGACGAAGAAGAUUUUCAACGAUUCACGUCUCAUCGUGGCCAACUAAAAAAAAAAAAAAAACUAAAAAAAAAAAAAAAAAAAAAAAAAAAAAGAAGAAACGGCUGGAUUGGUUUGGUUUUUGGCCGCAAAAAAACUCGGCGUAACAACUGAAAUCCAGAUUUCGGUGUGACCCUUGCGCACAACUACGCCAAGUACGAAACUCAAUUUUCUAGUGUUACAUCAUUUUCGUUGGUCGACGUUCGCUGAUGCCGUCUGCAAAAUCGAAUAGCCAUCGAUCACGGUGGUUGUGUGCGUAGGGCACCGAUGUCGGGCUCUGGCAACAUCGUUGUGCAUAUAGGCCUCUUUCUUUACGAUAUCGUUCCGUAUGUAUAAUGUUUAAUAAUAC
This is a long non-coding RNA of Daphnia carinata, 738 nucleotides long. RefSeq lists it as uncharacterized. Lineage: Eukaryota; Metazoa; Arthropoda; Branchiopoda; Diplostraca; Daphniidae. The transcript is spliced from 3 exons. The record is from RefSeq and is a predicted model, not a curated record.